CCUACGGGGGGCAGCAGUGGGGAAUAUUGGGCAAUGGGCGCAAGCCUGACCCAGCAACGCCGCGUGAAGGAAGAAGGCUUUCGGGUUGUAAACUUCUUUUCUGAGGGACGAAGAAAGUGACGGUACCUCAGGAAUAAGCCAUGGCCAACUACGUGCCAACAGCCGCGGUAAUACGUGGGUGGCAAGCGUUAUCCGGAUUUAUUGGGUGUAAAGGGCGUGUAGGCGGGAAAGCAAGUCCGAUGUGAAAACUGAGGGCUCAACCCUGAGCCUGCAGUUGAAACUGGUUUUCUUGAGUGAUGGAGAGGCAAUCGGAAUGCCGUGUGUAGCGGUGAAAUGCGUAGAUAUACGGAGGAACACCGGUGGCGAAGGCAGAAUGCUGGACAGUAACUGACGCUGAGGCGCGAAAGCGUGGGGAGCAAACAGGAUUAGAUACCCUUGUAGUC
RNAcentral lists this ribosomal RNA (443 nucleotides) under uncultured bacterium. RNAcentral describes it as "partial 16S ribosomal RNA". It matches the Rfam family "Bacterial small subunit ribosomal RNA", at positions 338 to 795 of the family's 1533-position model. The record is from RNAcentral.